Molecule: long non-coding RNA, 274 nt
Filed under: Homo sapiens (human)
Lineage: Eukaryota; Metazoa; Chordata; Mammalia; Primates; Hominidae
Description: non-protein coding lnc-IRAK1-1:1
Source: RNAcentral
GCACUCCAGCCUGGGUGACACAGUGAGACCCCGUCUCAAAAAAAAAAAAAAAAAAAAAAAAAGUGGCGUAUGUUCCCGGUCUCCACCUCUCAUUCGCCAGCCCCUGUGACCAAACCCCUGGGAUUAGAUCUCCAUCGGGUCCCUCCCCUCACCCUAACCUCACAUGCAGUGGUUCCUGAGAAGCUGCUGUUUAUCUGAUCACGGGAUCCAGCAGGAUCUGAGGGCUCAUUCACUGAAUCUGUACUACCCAACAAGGCAGGCUUGUCCUUACCCA